This 2283-nucleotide ribosomal RNA is filed under the name human gut metagenome. RNAcentral's name for it is "bacterial LSU rRNA". It matches the Rfam family "Bacterial large subunit ribosomal RNA", at positions 3 to 2308 of the family's 2925-position model. The record is from RNAcentral.
UCAAGCUAAUAAGAGCACAGGGUGGAUGCCCAGGCACCAAACGCCGACGAAAGACGUGGCAAGCUGCGAAAAGUCACGGGGAACCGCAAGCAGGUAUUGAUCCGUGAACGUCUGAAUGGGGAAACCCGGCGGGUUAACAGCCCGUCACUAUUAACUGAAUCAAUAGGUUAAUAGGGGGAACGCGGGGAACUGAAACAUCUCAGUACCCGUAGGAAGAGAAAAUAAAGAAUGAUUUCCUAAGUAGCGGCGAGCGAACGGGAAAGAGGCCAAACCGAAGGGCUUGCUCUUCGGGGUUGUGGAUCAGCAAAAAGGACGGAAGACCUUAGCAGAAGAGGAUUGGAAAGUCCCGCCAGAGAGGGUAAAAGCCCCUUACGCGAAAAGGUCAAACGACGAGCUGACACCAGAGUACCGCAGGACACGAGAAAUCCGGUGGGAAGCCGGGAGGACCACCUCCCAAGCCUAAAUACGAAUUGGUGACCGAUAGCGCAUAGUACCGUGAGGGAAAGGUGAAAAGAACCCCGGGAGGGGAGUGAAAAAGAACCUGAAACCCUGUGUUUACAAGCAGUGAAAGUGCGAGCAAGGCACGAUCACGUACUUUUUGUAGAACGGACCGGCGAGUUACGUUAUGCAGCAAGGUUAAGAACUGAAGGUUCGGAGCCGAAGCGAAAGCGAGUCUGAACAGGGCGAAAGUUGCAUGACGUAGACCCGAAACCGGGUGACCUAUCCAUGAGCAGGUUGAAGUGGAGGUAAAGCUCCAUGGAGGACCGAACCAGACGUCUGUUGAAAAAGGCGGGGAUGACUUGUGGAUAGGGGAGAAAUUCCAAUCGAACCCGGAGAUAGCUGGUUCUCCUCGAAAUAGCUUUAGGGCUAGCCUCAUGGAUCAUUGAUGGGGGUAGAGCACUGAAUGUGCGCGGGGGCCACAAAGCCUACCAAACGCUAUCAAACUUCGAAUACCAUACAAUGCAGACCAUGGGAGUCAGUCCGCGAGAGAUAAGUUCCGCGGGCAAAAGGGGAACACCCCAGAUCAACCGCUAAGGUCCCCAAGUUCACGUUAAGUGGAGAAGGAUGUGGAAUUGCACAGACAACCAGGAUGUUGGCUCAGAAGCAGCCACACAUUUAAAGAGUGCGUAAUAGCUCACUGGUCGAGUGAUUGUGCGCCGAAGAUGUCCGGGGCUAAACGUGACACCGAAGCGAUGGGUGCAUCUGAAAGGAUGCGCGGUAGAGGAGCAAUGUGCAGAGGCAGAAGCCGUAUCGAGAGGCACGGUGGACACUGCACAAGAGAGAAUGCCGGUAUGAGUAGCGAGAGGCAUGCGAGAAACAUGCCCGUCGAAAGCCCAAGGUUUCCUGGGGAAGGUUCAUCCGCCCAGGGUAAGUCGGGGCCUAAGCCGAGGACGGAAGUCGUAGGCGAUGGACAGCAGGUGUAGAUUCCUGCACUACCGAUGGAAUGAAGCAGUGACACAGAAGGAUAACUCGAGCAGGGUGAUGGUCAACCCUGUGCAAGCAUUGAGGUUGGGUUGUAGUGAAGUACGCAAUCCUAUAAGCUGAGAUGUGAUGCGGACCGAAAUUUCAGUAGGGAAGCGAGUGAGUUCACGCUGGCGAGAAAAGCUGCUAGUAUAUCCAAAGGUACCCGUACCGGAAACCGACGCAGGUGGGCGAGGAGAGAAUCCUGAGACGAACGGGAGAACCCUUGUUAAGGAACUCGGCAAAAUGACCCCGUAACUUCGGGAUAAGGGGUGCCUGCGAGAGCAGGCCGCAGAGAAUAGUCACAAGCGACUGUUUAGCAAAAACACAGGUAUCUGCGAAAGCGAGAGCUGACGUAUAGGUGCUGACACCUGCCCGGUGCUGGAAGGUUAAGGGAACAUGUUAGAGCAAUCGAAGCAUCGAACCGAAGCCCCAGUAAACGGCGGCCGUAACUAUAACGGUCCUAAGGUAGCGAAAUUCCUUGUCGGGUAAGUUCCGACCCGCACGAAUGGUGUAACGAUCUGGGCACUGUCUCAACUACCCGCCCGGCGAAAUUGUAGUACCGGUGAAGAUGCCGGUUACCCGCGACAAGACGGAAAGACCCCAUGGAGCUUUACUGUAGCCUAAUAUUGGGUUUCGAUGUUGCAUGCACAGGAUAGAUGGGACUCUGGGAAACCAAGGCUUUGGCUUUGGCGGAGAGGCCGUUGGGAUACCAUCCUUGCGAUAUUGGAAUUCUAACCUGCGGCUCUGAAUCGAGUCGGGGGACAUUGUUAGGUGGGCAGUUUGACUGGGGCGGUCGCCUCCUAAAGAGUAACGGAGGCG